AGUGUCGGCCAGGAACCUUAAAAUGACCAGCGUGGAGCAAACUGGGAUGGGCAUGAAUGGAAAAGUUCUGGAAACAAACGAUGGGCCAGUAAUAAAACCAGAAAAUUAGGAACAUGAACACCAAGAUGAACCGCAAACUACUGAAAAGCUAGCUGGGUUUGCGAGGCCAACCAGCGCUGAAGGAGGAAGCGAGUGCCACAGAUCUACAGCAGUACCACAACUCUCGCCACGACGGCAGUUAACUUCUUAAUUCUUCUUUGUUCCUUUGCUUUCUUUUCCUCAGCAGUGCAAUUGUUAAGCAAAUAAACGAUCAGUAAGCUUU
Scylla paramamosain (green mud crab) is the source of this 322-nucleotide long non-coding RNA. RefSeq lists it as uncharacterized. The transcript has 2 exons. The record is from RefSeq and is a predicted model, not a curated record. Lineage: Eukaryota; Metazoa; Arthropoda; Malacostraca; Decapoda; Portunidae.